AUUGAACGCUGGCGGCAGGCCUAACACAUGCAAGUCGGACGGUAGCACAGAGAGCUUGCCCUUGGGUGGCGAGUGGCGGACGGGUGAGUAAUGUCUGGGGAUCUGCCCGAUAGAGGGGGAUAACCACUGGAAACGGUGGCUAAUACCGCAUAACGUCACAAGACCAAAGAGGGGGACCUUCGGGCCUCUCACUAUCGGAUGAACCAAGAUGGGAUUAGCUAGUAGGCGGGGUAAUGGCCCACCUAGGCGACGAUCCCUAGCUGGUCUGAGAGGAUGACCAGCCACACUGGAACUGAGACACGGUCCAGACUCCUACGGGAGGCAGCAGUGGGGAAUAUUGCACAAUGGGCGCAAGCCUGAUGCAGCCAUGCCGCGUGUAUGAAGAAGGCCUUCGGGUUGUAAAGUACUUUCAGCGGGGAGGAAGGCGACGCGGUUAAUAACCGCGUCGAUUGACGUUACCCGCAGAAGAAGCACCGGCUAACUCCGUGCCAGCAGCCGCCGUAA
RNAcentral lists this ribosomal RNA (504 nucleotides) under uncultured bacterium. RNAcentral describes it as "partial 16S ribosomal RNA". It matches the Rfam family "Bacterial small subunit ribosomal RNA", at positions 29 to 523 of the family's 1533-position model. The record is from RNAcentral.